GGACCCGCACAAGCGGUGGAGUAUGUGGUUUAAUUCGAUGCAACACGAAGAACCUUACCAGGGUUUGAAAUCAUUUCAAAACUCCUUGAAAGAGGAGCCUCCUUCGGGAUGAAAUGACAGGUGGUGCAUGGCUGUCGUCAGCUCGUGUUGUGAAAUGUCGAGUUAAGUCUCGUAACGAGCGCAACCCAUGUCUCUUGUUGCUCACUGAGUGCUUAAGAGAGACUGCCGACCAACAUCGGAGGAAGGUGUGGAUGAUGUCAAGUCAGCAUGCCCCUUACAUCCUGGGCUACACACGUACUACAAUGCCCGGUACAAUAGGAAGCAAGACCGCGAGGUGGAGCAAA
This 344-nucleotide ribosomal RNA is filed under the name uncultured bacterium. Its description in RNAcentral is "bacterial SSU rRNA". It matches the Rfam family "Bacterial small subunit ribosomal RNA", at positions 917 to 1271 of the family's 1533-position model. The record is from RNAcentral.